Molecule: ribosomal RNA, 432 nt
Filed under: uncultured bacterium
Lineage: Bacteria
Description: partial 16S ribosomal RNA
Rfam family: Bacterial small subunit ribosomal RNA
Source: RNAcentral
AACGAACGCUGGCGGCAUGCCUAACACAUGCAAGUCGAACGAGACCUUCGGGUCUAGUGGCGCACGGGUGCGUAACGCGUGGGAACCUGCCCUUAGGUUCGGAAUAACUCCCCGAAAGGGGUGCUAAUACCGGAUAAUGUCUUCGGACCAAAGAUUGAUCGCCUUUGGAUGGGCCCGCGUUCGAUUAGCUAGUUGGUAGGGUAAAAGCCUAUCAAGGCGACGAUCCAUAGCUGGUCUGAGAGGAUGAUCAGCCACACUGGGACUGAGACACGGCCCAGACUCCUACGGGAGGCAGCAGUGGGGAAUAUUGGACAAUGGGCGAAAGCAUGAUCCAGCAAUGCCGCGUGAGUGAUGAAGGCCUUAGGGUUGUAAAGCUCUUUUACCCGGGAUGAUAAUGACAGUACCGGGAGAAUAAGCUCCGGCUAACUCCGU